RNAcentral lists this ribosomal RNA (406 nucleotides) under uncultured bacterium. RNAcentral's name for it is "partial 16S ribosomal RNA". It matches the Rfam family "Bacterial small subunit ribosomal RNA", at positions 30 to 526 of the family's 1533-position model. The record is from RNAcentral.
AUUGAACGCUGGCGGCAGGCCUAACACAUGCAAGUCGAACGAGUGGCGGACGGGUGAGUAAUGUCUGGGAAACUGCCCGAUGGAGGGGGAUAACUACUGGAAACGGUAGCUAAUACCGCCUACCAUCGGAUGUGCCCAGAUGGGAUUAGCUAGUAGGUGGGGUAACGGCUCACCUAGGCGACGAUCCAUAGCUGGUCUGAGAGGAUGACAAGCCACACUGAACCUGAGACACGGUCCAGAGUCCUACGGGAGGCAGCAGUGGGGAAUAUUGCACAAGGGGCGCAAGCCGUAUGCAGCCAUGCCGCGUGUAGGAAGAAGGCCUUCGGGUUGUAAAGUACUUUCAGCGAGGAGGCGUUAAUCGCAGAAGAAGCAUCGGCUAACUCCGGGCCAGCAGCGGCGGUAAUUC